UGCAGUCGAGCGGACAGAAGGGAGCUUGCUCCCGGAUGUUAGCGGCGGACGGGUGAGUAACACGUGGGUAACCUGCCUGUAAGACUGGGAUAACUCCGGGAAACCGGAGCUAAUACCGGAUAGUUCCUUGAACCGCAUGGUUCAAGGAUGAAAGACGGUUUCGGCUGUCACUUACAGAUGGACCCGCGGCGCAUUAGCUAGUUGGUGGGGUAAUGGCUCACCAAGGCGACGAUGCGUAGCCGACCUGAGAGGGUGAUCGGCCACACUGGGACUGAGACACGGCCCAGACUCCUACGGGAGGCAGCAGUAGGGAAUCUUCCGCAAUGGACGAAAGUCUGACGGAGCAACGCCGCGUGAGUGAUGAAGGUUUUCGGAUCGUAAAGCUCUGUUGUUAGGGAAGAACAAGUGCGAGAGUAACUGCUCGCACCUUGACGGUACCUAACCAGAAAGCCACGGCUAACUACGUGCCAGCAGCCGCGGUAAUACGUAGGUGGCAAGCGUUGUCCGGAAUUAUUGGGCGUAAAGGGCUCGCAGGCGGUUUCUUAAGUCUGAUGUGAAAGCCCCCGGCUCAACCGGGGAGGGUCAUUGGAAACUGGGAAA
RNAcentral lists this ribosomal RNA (600 nucleotides) under Bacillus sp. (in: firmicutes). Its description in RNAcentral is "bacterial SSU rRNA". It matches the Rfam family "Bacterial small subunit ribosomal RNA", at positions 56 to 640 of the family's 1533-position model. Lineage: Bacteria; Bacillati; Bacillota; Bacilli; Caryophanales; Bacillaceae. The record is from RNAcentral.